Long non-coding RNA from Pecten maximus, 916 nucleotides. RefSeq lists it as uncharacterized. Lineage: Eukaryota; Metazoa; Mollusca; Bivalvia; Pectinida; Pectinidae. The record is from RefSeq and is a predicted model, not a curated record. The transcript has 2 exons.
GAUACCAAUUCAAGCUGAUGAGUACAGGAAGUCCAUGCCAGUCAGACUCCAGACACCAUGGGGCCAACCCUGGGGUAUAAGGUUCAUUUCUAACUGACUGUAUUGUGACUUAUUUGAUGAUUUAUUUCAGUAAUAAAUACAUAAAAUGAAACAAUAUUGUAAAAGUAACUUCAAUGCAAUUUUAUAGUAUUUUAAAAAGCAUCUGUUGAACUCACAAAUCUUCAUUUUUAUUAAGUCUGUAUGAAUGAAAAACCUUUCCUGUGCCCCAACUUAAGAUUGACCAAUGUAAAACAAGGUCCCCACUUUGAAUUGAGUUUCCUGUGGCUGCAUGUGGACAUUUUGCAUCUCUGUGAAUCAGUAUAAAUUGUCCUAUCAAUCACUUCUGGAAAUAGAAUCAACUUCUGUCAUUCUGGACAUGGUAAGGAUAUGUGCAACCUAUCUACAUCUGCAUGUUGAAAGUUCUGUAAAUAAGUUACAUAAACAAACAGAAGAUGGACUCAGUGAAGUGAUCCAGAUGAAGAUUUCCAAGGGUCAACAAUAAAUGCACAAAUGCAAAAAGAUACAGUGAGCUCUGAAGUGGACGGAAAUGACAGGAAGAGUUAAAAGAUAUUGUAACUGUACUGAAAAAAGAACUGGUAUUAUCAACAUAUGAUGAAUAUUCUACCGAAUGCCAACAAAAACUAUAAGCCAUUAUUGCAGUGACAACAGAGAUUAACAAUGAUAAGAAAAACAUUCAUGAACAAGAAAUUAAAUAACCUUUGAGGUAUUGUUAUGUAAGUGUGCAUUAAUGAUUUAGUUUAAAAGAAUAUGGAAUAAAAUAUAGAUGUUUGUAUAUAAAGUUCGUAUCUAUAAGGUGUUUUAUUGUAACAGCAUGCCGUACUGCUCUGAAUGAUAGAAAUACAGACUUUUACAUUAA